RNAcentral lists this ribosomal RNA (552 nucleotides) under Mycoplasmopsis bovis. Its description in RNAcentral is "partial 23S ribosomal RNA". It matches the Rfam family "Bacterial large subunit ribosomal RNA", at positions 792 to 1352 of the family's 2925-position model. Lineage: Bacteria; Bacillati; Mycoplasmatota; Mycoplasmoidales; Metamycoplasmataceae. The record is from RNAcentral.
AAACGUGCCCGGAUGACUUGUGAAUAGCGGAGAAAUUCCAAUCGAACUUGGAGAUAGCUGGUUCUCCUCGAAAUAGCUUUAGGGCUAGCGUGUAGUGUUAAAUAAUGGUGGUAAAGCACUGAAUAUGGAAUGGCCUCGCCUAGGGGUACUGACUAUAAUCAAACUCUGAAUACCGUUAUGAAUUGCUAUGCAGUCGGAACCGGGGUGCUAACGUCCCGGCUCGCGAGGGAAACAACCCAGAUCGUCAGCUAAGGUCCCAAAAUCGUGUUAAGUCAGAAAGGUUGUGAGGUUUCAUAAACAACUAGGAAGUUGGCUUAGAAGCAGCCAUCUUUUAAAGAGUGCGUAAUAGCUCACUAGUCAAGAGACCUUGCGCCGACAAUGUAACGGGAGUAAAACACGAUACCGAAGCUACGGGUACAUUUAUGUACGUUAGAGGAGCGUUCUUAGGGCAAUGAAGCUAGACUGUAAAGACUAGUGGAGCGCUAAGAAGUGAGAAUGCCGGUAUGAGUAACGAUUCGUAGUGAGAAUCUACGACGCCUAUUGGGGAAGGUU